UAAGGAAUAUUGGGCAAUGGUCGCAAGACUGAUCCAGCCAUGCCGCGUGCAGGAAGACGGCCCUAUGGGUUGUAAACUGCUUUUGUACCAGAGAAAACCUAUCUACGUGUAGAUAGCUGAUAGUAUGGUAAGAAUAAGCAUCGGCUAACUUCGUGCCAGCAGCCGCGGUAAGACGAAGGAUGCAAGCGUUAUCCGGAUUCAUUGGGUUUAAAGGGUGCGUAGGCGGGCUUGUAAGUCAGUGGUGAAAUCUCUCAGCUUAACUGAGAAACUGCCAUUGAUACUGCGGGCCUAGAGUAUAGAUGACGUUGGCGGAAUAUGACAUGUAGUGGUGAAAUACUUAGAUAUGUCAUAGAACACCGAUUGCGAAGGCAGCUAACGAAACUAUAACUGACGCUGAGGCACGAAAGUGCGGGGAUCAAACA
Molecule: ribosomal RNA, 422 nt
Filed under: uncultured bacterium
Lineage: Bacteria
Description: bacterial SSU rRNA
Rfam family: Bacterial small subunit ribosomal RNA
Source: RNAcentral